RNAcentral lists this microRNA precursor (159 nucleotides) under Corchorus capsularis. Its description in RNAcentral is "mir-166 microRNA precursor family". It matches the Rfam family "mir-166 microRNA precursor family". From Rfam's summary of the family: This family represents the plant microRNA (miRNA) precursor mir-166. Lineage: Eukaryota; Viridiplantae; Streptophyta; Magnoliopsida; Malvales; Malvaceae. The record is from Rfam by way of RNAcentral.
GGUGUUUGGAAUGAAGUUUGAUCCAAGAUAUCAUUCUAAACAAUGAUCUUAUUCUUUCUUGAUUUCUCCAAUUACUAAUUAGUUCUUAAUUAAUUAUUAUUGGAGGGAUUAAAUGAUCAUUGUUCGAUCGAUCUCGGACCAGGCUUCAUUCCUCACACC